This 242-nucleotide ribosomal RNA is filed under the name uncultured bacterium. Its description in RNAcentral is "partial 16S ribosomal RNA". It matches the Rfam family "Bacterial small subunit ribosomal RNA", at positions 65 to 334 of the family's 1533-position model. The record is from RNAcentral.
AACGGGAUACUUCGGUAUCUAGUGGCGGACGGGUGAGUAACGCGUGAGAAUCUGGCUUUAGGUUCGGGACAACAGUGGGAAACUGCUGCUAAUACCGAAUGUGCCGCAAGGUGAAAGAUUAAUUGCCUGAAGAAGAGCUCGCGUCUGAUUAGCUAGUUGGUGAGGUAAAAGCUCACCAAGGCGACGAUCAGUAACUGGUCUGAGAGGAUGACCAGUCACACUGGGACUGAGACACGGCCCAG